This 1010-nucleotide long non-coding RNA is filed under the name Olea europaea subsp. europaea. Lineage: Eukaryota; Viridiplantae; Streptophyta; Magnoliopsida; Lamiales; Oleaceae. The record is from RNAcentral.
AUCGCUUUGGCACUUCUCUAAUUUGUUUUAGAUUCGUCUUAGAACUUUUGCAAAAUAUUUCAUUCAAAUCACCGACUCAAUUUAACAACUACUUUCUAACAGAAUAUUCAAAAUAUCUUGAUGCAUUAGCAAACGAAGAUGUAGAAUGUUCAUUUAAAAAAUAGACGCCAAACUGAGCUGAUGGUCCAUACGAAACAUUUUAUGAAGUUCAACAAUGAGAUGAAAAAAAUUAAAUUUCAGUAGCUAAAGUGACACUUAGUGCAAAGUUAAAUGACCAUGAGUAAAAUUUUCGACCAACAAUUACUGAACAAUCCACCAUUUUUUUGUUGCAUUUUGCAAACCAAGCCCCCCAAUUAUGUCUUCCAUAUUCACAAGGUUUGGUUUUGGCCACAGCCAUGGCUCUCUCUGCGUCUACCAUAAUUCUCUUUGAUCAUUUCCGGGAAAAGUAUUAAGAUUCAACUACCGAUAAACGAGUUCUUCAGUCUUGUUUAUCUUCAGGUACAAGAAAACUCCAUUUCUUCUUUUCUUGUUUUCUUGAAUUAAUUACUAUAAUUUAGAAGAUUAACUGUCUACAUGUUGGCUAAGUAUAAAAAUAUUAAUCAAAGUUAGGCGAUUAAGUUCAAAAGAAUAAUUUGGUCUGAUUAAAGCUCCCAUUGAUCAUUUUUGUUAUAGGUAGCAAGAAAAAGGAGAAGACGAAGAAGAGGGUUCAAUUUGCAGAUGAUGUAAAAGAUUCAAGUGGGAAUAGUGAAUUGCACAGAGAAGAAGAUGAAAUUCCUGUAAAUCACGCGACUUUGUACAGUGGGAUUCUCAAGGAUCGUGUGCAAAGAAUGGAGUACUCGGAAUGCUUUUAGCUGUAGAAUUUGUAUUAGAGGGAAAUGGAGUUACCAUAAGCACCUCUUGGCUCCCUUAUGUAUGGUAAAUACAUUGGAUUGGAUUUCUUCAUUAUGUUUGUUUGGCUGUGUGCAAAAAUUACUUUUUAAUGAGUUAAGACUUAAUUAAAAUUUAAUUUA